AGGGCUGAUGCGGAGAAGGGUUUCGUGUGAACAGCCGUUGCACACGAGUCAGUCGAUCCUAAGUCCUAGGAGAAAUCCGAUGUAUGGGCGCGCGGCCCCGUAGGGCGAAAGGGAAUCCGGUCCCUAUUCCGGAACCCGGUCGCGGAACCGUCUCACGUCGGGCCCCCGGCUUCGGCCGGUAGCUCGUCGGGGUAACCCAAAAAGACCCGGAGAAGCCGUCGGGAGGUCUGGGAAGAGUUUUCUUUUCUGUUUGAGCGUUCGGGUUCCCUGGAAUUGUCUAGCACAGAGAGAGGGAAUGGAGCGCGUAGAGCACCGCAGUUGCGGCGGUGUCCAGACAUGCCCUUCGGACCUUGAAAAUCCGGGGACGGGCCACGUGGAGGUUCGCGCCGGUUCGUACCCAUAUCCGCAGCAGGUCUCCAAGGUGAAGAGCCUCUAGUCGGUAGACUAAUGUAGGUAAGGGAAGUCGGCAAAUGAUCCG
Molecule: ribosomal RNA, 478 nt
Filed under: Munda aff. asyrinx ICCM-2015
Lineage: Eukaryota; Metazoa; Arthropoda; Insecta; Orthoptera; Gryllidae
Description: eukaryotic LSU rRNA
Rfam family: Eukaryotic large subunit ribosomal RNA
Source: RNAcentral